RNAcentral lists this ribosomal RNA (405 nucleotides) under uncultured bacterium. Its description in RNAcentral is "partial 16S ribosomal RNA". It matches the Rfam family "Bacterial small subunit ribosomal RNA", at positions 30 to 526 of the family's 1533-position model. The record is from RNAcentral.
AUUGACCGCUGGCGGCAGGCCUAACACAUGCAAGUCGAACGAGUGGCGGACGGGUGAGUAUGUCUUGGAAACUGCCUGAUGGAAGGGGAUCCCUACUGGAAACGGUAGCUCAUACCGCAUACCAUCAGCUUUGCCCGGAUGGGAUUAGCUAGUUGGUGGGGUAACGGCUCACCAAGGCGACGUUCCCUAGCUGGUCUGAGAGGAUGACCAGACACACUGGAACUGAGACACGGUCCAGACUCCUACGGGAGGCAGCAGUGGGGAAUAUUGCACAAUGGGCGAAAGCCUGAUGCAGCCAUGCCGCGUGUAUGAAGAAGGCCUUCGGGUUGUAAAGUACUUUCAGCGGGGAGGCGUUACCCGCAGAAGAAGCACCGGCUAACUCCGUGCCAGCCGCCGCGGUAAUAC